This 73-nucleotide transfer RNA is filed under the name Bos taurus (domestic cattle). It matches the Rfam family "tRNA". From Rfam's summary of the family: Transfer RNA (tRNA) molecules are approximately 80 nucleotides in length. Lineage: Eukaryota; Metazoa; Chordata; Mammalia; Artiodactyla; Bovidae. RNAcentral also lists the same sequence under 5 other names. The record is from Rfam by way of RNAcentral.
UCCCUGGUGGUCCAGUGGUUAAGACUCUGUGCUUUCACUGCAGGGGGCUUGAGUUUGAUUCCUACUCAGGGAA